AACGAACGCUGGCGGCGCGCCUAACACAUGCAAGUCGCACGAGAGGCUCUUCGGAGUAGUAAAGUGGCGCACGGGUGAGUAAUACAUGGGUAAUCUGCCUUUGAGAGGGGAAUAACUGGCCGAAAGGCCUGCUAAUACCCUAUACGCUUCCGGUCCCUCGGGUAAGGAAGGAAAGCUCCAUCGUGGAUGUGGCGCUCGAAGAUGGGCUCAUGGCCUAUCAGCUUGUUGGUAGGGUAACGGCCUACCAAGGCAACGACGGGUAGCUGGUCUGAGAGGACGAUCAGCCACACUGGCACUGAGAUACGGGCCAG
RNAcentral lists this ribosomal RNA (311 nucleotides) under uncultured bacterium. Its description in RNAcentral is "bacterial SSU rRNA". It matches the Rfam family "Bacterial small subunit ribosomal RNA", at positions 29 to 334 of the family's 1533-position model. The record is from RNAcentral.